UGGGCGAAAGCCUGACGCAGCCAUGCCGCGUGAAUGAUGAAGGUCUUAGGAUUGUAAAAUUCUUUCACCGGGGACGAUAAUGACGGUACCCGGAGAAGAAGCCCCGGCUAACUUCGUGCCAGCAGCCGCGGUAAUACGAAGGGGGCUAGCGUUGCUCGGAAUUACUGGGCGUAAAGGGCGCGUAGGCGGAUCGUUAAGUCAGGGGUGAAAUCCCAGAGCUCAACUCUGGAACUGCCUUUGAUACUGGCGAUCUUGAGUAUGAGAGAGGUAUGUGGAACUCCGAGUGUAGAGGUGAAAUUCGUAGAUAUUCGGAAGAACACCAGUGGCGAAGGCGACAUACUGGCUCAUUACUGACGCUGAGGCGCGAAAGCGUGGGGAGCAAACAGGAUUAGAUACCCUGGUAGUCCACGCCGUAAACGAUGAUUGCUAGUUGUCGGGCUGCAUGCAGUUCGGUGACGCAGCUAACGCAUUAAGCAAUCCGCCUGGG
Molecule: ribosomal RNA, 487 nt
Filed under: uncultured bacterium
Lineage: Bacteria
Description: bacterial SSU rRNA
Rfam family: Bacterial small subunit ribosomal RNA
Source: RNAcentral